Molecule: ribosomal RNA, 253 nt
Filed under: uncultured bacterium
Lineage: Bacteria
Description: partial 16S ribosomal RNA
Rfam family: Bacterial small subunit ribosomal RNA
Source: RNAcentral
UACAGAGGAUGCAAGCGUUAUCCGGAAUGAUUGGGCGUAAAGCGUCUGUAGGUGGCUUUUUAAGUCCGCCGUCAAAUCCCAGGGCUCAACUCUGGACAGGCGGUGGAAACUACCAAGCUGGAGUACGGUAGGGGCAGAGGGAAUUUCCGGUGGAGCGGUGAAAUGCGUAGAUAUCGAGAGGAACACCUGCGGCGAAGGCGGGUUGCUGGGCUGACACUGACGCUGAACUGCGAAAGCUAGGGUAGCAAACGGG